GACUCUGCACCUGAUAAAAUGACAUUACUAAAGCAAACAACUUUACUUUCCUCUUGUAAAUCAUAUUUGGUUCUCUCUUGACUUGCUUCCAAAUUUCUUUCAUCCCCUAGUGAAUGAUUCCAAACAAUAGUUUCCUCACCGACAUGCAUACUGUACUGCUGCAACAAAAAUGAAACUAGAAACUAUAAUUAGAUUUUUAGGUUUUUUUGGCUUAGGCUAGUUUGACUUAGGUUUCAGUUACAUGCAGCCAAAAGUCCUGACAAAUAUAAGAGGCAGCAAAUAUAUUUGGGCAAAUCAGAAAAGUAAGAAAACUUAAUACAUGGGCUGUAUGGAGAAGAAAGAAGAACAAGACAGUAAGAAGCAGUAUGUUCCCAAAAAACACUGAAGAUAGAAGUAAAGAUUUCCUUUCCUUUUUCUGCUGUUGUUCCCAGAGGAAGACAAAUCCCGUCGUCUACGCUAUGUUGAACAGAAGUGGUAAGAGUGGGCAUCCUUGUCUUGUUCCAGAUUUUAGUGGACAGACCGCAUUUCCCAGCCUCUGCUGGAGGUGGUGAGGUCAUGUGACCAUGUUCUAACCAGCAGCCUGUGAAAAUGAUGUGCUGCUCUAGGCGGGGCCGCCGAAAUCUCUGUGCUUUCCCCUUCUGACGGAUGUCGAUGAGCUGGGUGACCCUUGGAAGUCACAGGUUGAAGACGGAAUCGUGGUCCCUGGGCCACAACUUGGAGAAAAGCCAGGUAGCAUCAUAGAACUUAUUCUGUGGCAUGAGUUCCUCAGCAGUUUAUCUCAGAAGGCUACAACAUGGACACUUUUGGACAGUUCAGGCCAGUGACUUGGUAAAAAUUUCUUCAAUCUGUUUUGUAUGGUAUUUACUGAUGAAUACAUUCAGAAGGUAUACCUUUGGUGAGACUAUCACAGAAAUGCAUUUUCUCUUUGAAUCUUAUCAAGUGGCCCACUUGAUUUGUCCCAUUGCAGUGAUGGUCCUUUAAUCAUUGGUGGUGCCAGGCUUCCUCACAAUAAAUUUAUUUUUCCCUUUUGUAAUUAGCUACCAGUCCGUCCUAAAACAUGUUCCUGAUAAAUACGCUAUAAUGAUGUUUUCAGUGACAUCUUCUGCUGUCUUACAUACUGCCUUUUUAUCAACUCAGGUACGUGAAUAUGUCUUAUACGUCACCUCAGAUUUUCUGUCUCGCCUGUCUCCCAGGCCCUGCCUCUCAGUGACUGGCUACUCCAUGGGGUCCCAGGUUCCUCCGCCUGAGGCUCUCCCACCAUACUAAGCUGCAAGGCCUGGGAGCCCAUGUCCCCAGCUUCACCCAGAGUGAGAAGAGUUAAUUCCCUUUGGGGUCAGGAGAUAAGGCAAAACCAGCAGAUAAACUCCCUCUUCAUGCCUCCCUCUGACUAUAUAAUAUUUCGAUGACACCCGUCCAGAGGCAUCCUGCAUGGCCGAGCAACUGGCUGUUUCUGUGAAGGAGCAGUGGACAGCCUGAUAGUGUAAAACCUGGCAUUUGCUUCUCAUCCCUCCCUGUCUCACCUUUUUGCUUCACUCUUAAUGCCUUGGGAUGGUGCCUGCCCGUAGGGCAUUCACACUUAAAGUUUGCCGCAUCACCCGUUUCACAGGGAUCCUGGGCUGGACCCUAUGGAGGAAUUUCUCUCUGAUCAGAGUAAUGGUAACACCUGUGCUUUUCCUGAAUGGUUUAUAUACCGUGUAAGCAGUCAGAUUUCUCUCUGUGUUGGGACUCUAUACACCUGUGUAGCCCAUCUGUAACACCAGGGCAUAAAGCGAUAUGGUGUGGAUGCCUGAAUUCUGAUCUUACGUCUCGUUCUUCUACUUCCCCUUUAUCCGUCAUUACUUCUUUAUUUCUUUUCGUGCUUUUUUAAAAGUCAGUCCCUUCAAAUCACUUGUAGAAUAAAGCAGAAAAUAAAAAAUGUAGCUUAACAUAAUGAGAAAUGCACUCAAAUGAAAGACAGAGGGCAUUCUGGGUCUGUCUCUAAUUCAUGGUAUGACCAUGCUGUCAUCAUCUACAAAAUUAGAGGUUUAGUCUGGGUAUCUCUAGGGUUCUGUCCUAAGUUAAAAAUCUAACGAUUCAUCAAUGCCAACUUAAGAACUGGAGUACACUUGGCUCAUAAUUGCAAUACCAGGUAUCCUAUGAGGUAUGAGUCUCUCUCUAAAAUGGCAGAAAGAAUGUGAGUUCAAACCACCAGAGAGACUUGGAUUCUAACUUAGGUUUAGUGGCUGUAUGAUUGAGGAAGUUAAGAGAUUUUGUCUUGGGAGUUCCCGUUGUGGCUCAGCAGGCAACAGGUUAUG
Sus scrofa (pig) is the source of this 2294-nucleotide non-coding RNA. NCBI's taxonomy places the organism in Eukaryota, Metazoa, Chordata, Mammalia, Artiodactyla, Suidae. The record is from RefSeq and is a predicted model, not a curated record.